Molecule: ribosomal RNA, 274 nt
Filed under: uncultured bacterium
Lineage: Bacteria
Description: partial 16S ribosomal RNA
Rfam family: Bacterial small subunit ribosomal RNA
Source: RNAcentral
UACGGGGGAUGCAAGCGUUAUCCGGAAUUAUUGGGCGUAAAGGGUUGGAAGGUUGUCUAAGAUGGUAAUUUUUUACCACGCAAAGUCUGCUGUUAAAUACUGGGGCUUAACCCCAGGCAAGCAGCAGAAACUACUAGACUCGAGUAUGGUAGGGGUAGAGGGAAUUUCUAGUGAAGCGGUGAAAUGUGUUGAUAUUAGAAGGAACACCAGCGGCGAAGGCGCUCUACUGGACCAUGACUGACACUAAUCAACGAGAGCUAGGGGAGCAAAAGGG